GUGUGUGUGUGUGUGUGUGUGUGUGUGUGUGUGUGUGUGUAUAUACACACACACACAUAUAUACUGCCCACCUAUAUACACACACACACACACACACACACGUGGGCAG
RNAcentral lists this microRNA precursor (109 nucleotides) under Pelobates cultripes (western spadefoot toad). Lineage: Eukaryota; Metazoa; Chordata; Amphibia; Anura; Pelobatidae. The record is from RNAcentral.